Molecule: long non-coding RNA, 554 nt
Organism: Bicyclus anynana (squinting bush brown)
Lineage: Eukaryota; Metazoa; Arthropoda; Insecta; Lepidoptera; Nymphalidae
Exons: 2
Source: RefSeq, a predicted model, not a curated record
CUCACUAGCAAACGGCAAAAUAUCGCAGCGAGUCGCUAGGUACAACUUAUAGGCAGCUCAAGGACGUUGUGUUUCUGUCCCUUUAUAAGACUAGACUAGACUUUAUCCUGCAGUAGAUGUGUAUCGGCGAGUGUGAUGUGUUUAAUAUCUAUAAUCUAUAUAAGCCCUGGUUUAUGCGGCGUCUGAUAGCUCAAGACUGUUGUUGUGUUUCUGUCCCUAUAAAAGCAAGAGGAAGUCUGAAGGUGGCGCCAGUGACAGAAAAAUUGAGGAGUAGAAGGUAUAAGAACACAUAUCGAAGAUAUGAAGGAAAGGAAUCUUCUUCUGAAAAACCGAAAGGGAAAAUUCUUGGAAAGGGAUCGGCACAGUAUCAACUCGAGUCUUCCAAAAUUUUUGUAUGAAAUUUGGAACUAUUUACCAUUGGAAACGUAUCGUAAGUACUCGUAAGUAUUCGUCUCGCCUCGGAACAUGCUCUUAAGCCUUUGAUUUAUGUAUGUAGAAGCAAAAUACUUGUUGUAAAUUAUGUUACCUUAAAAUAAAUGGAUUUUAAUUUUUAA